Molecule: ribosomal RNA, 466 nt
Filed under: uncultured bacterium
Lineage: Bacteria
Description: bacterial SSU rRNA
Rfam family: Bacterial small subunit ribosomal RNA
Source: RNAcentral
GGGCCCGCACAAGCGGUGGAGCAUGUGGUUUAAUUCGAUGCAACGCGAAAAACCUUACCUAGAUUUGAAAUAGUCAAGAAAAGUACGAGAAAUCGUCUUCCAGCAAUGGCUUGAUUACAGGUGCUGCAUGGCUGUCGUCAGCUCGUGUCGUGAGAUGUUGGGUUAAGUCCCGCAACGAGCGCAACCCUUGCCUUUAGUUGCCAGCAUUUAGUUGGGCACUCUAGAGGGACUGCCGACGUUAAGUCGGAGGAAGGUGGGGAUGACGUCAAGUCCUCAUGGCCCUUAUAUCUAGGGCUACACACGUGCUACAAUGGCGGUCACAAAGGGCAACAGCAAAGUCGCGAGGCGAAGCUAAUCCCAUAAAAGCCGUCCAAGUUCGGAUUGCAGUCUGCAACUCGACUGCAUGAAGUUGGAAUCGCUAGUAAUCGUGGAUCAGCAUGCCACGGUGAAUACGUUCCCGGGCCUU